CGCAUCACCAUUAAAAAAAGGAGAUGCUCUCCAUUUUAGUGCACACAAGCGUAGAGCUUCAAAUAUCUCACCUUCAUGAACCAUAAAAACAUUACUUGACUGAGUAAAAAACGGAAGAGCAUAACAUCUGCAGUUACUCAAGAGAGUGGGGCUACUAAUUAAGCAUGGAUUUUCAUGUACCAAAUGAAGAUUCUAGAUUUAUUAACUUAACAAAUUACCAGUCCCAAAGGUCGAGGCAGGUGCAUGGAAACACAUUUCUUACAAUAACUAUCCUGAUGCAGAAAAACUCACCGGUAUCAGUCACGGUACAUGAAGACAGAAGCAAUAAAAAAUAGCAGUAUAAAAGGAAUCUUGAAAAAAAAUUAUAAAGGAAGAAAACUUGGUCAUGAAUGCACUGGUUGCAUCUUUCGUGCUAAUUGUCCGCUGUUGAGACAAAUAAAGACAAUGGCAUAUUCAAAAUGAGGCUAAAAUUAUUACUGACUUAGUUCUAAUUCCAUAUAGUAAUUAAAAUGCUUAGAAAGAUGCGGUGUGACGCCCGGAUAAUUAAGCUAUAGUAACCCUCUACUAAAGACGCCACGUCACCUCGAUUUCUGUUAAUAAACUCGCGUUAGUUCGAAAUAUUCAAAUUCAAAUUUUGAAUUUAAGUCAAACAAUAAAAGUUUUCAAACAUUAAAAUAAAAAUGUUCGGUUUGUACCAAAUAUUACAUAGAUAAUUAUGGUGUAGAGGACAUAAAUAUUUUAACUUGAAUUAAAAUAGAAGAGAAAAUAAAUAAAAGAAAGAAAAUACAAAAGAGAAAAACAAACAAAAAAAGGAAAAGAAACCCCCCGGGGCUCCGGCCCAGCAGGCCACCGGCCCAACUGGGCCACGACCUACCAGGCCGGCCCAGCUCCCCCCUGGCCCAACCGGCCUCCCCAUAUCCCCAUCCCCGAAACCCUAACCCANNNNNNNNNNNNNNNNNNNNNNNNNNNNNNNNNNNNNNNNNNNNNNNNNNNNNNNNNNNNNNNNNNNNNNNNNNNNNNNNNNNNNNNNNNNNNNNNNNNNNNNNNNNNNNNNNNNNNNNNNNNNNNNNNNNNNNNNNNNNNNNNNNNNNNNNNNNNNNNNNNNNNNNNNNNNNNNNNNNNNNNNNNNNNNNNNNNNNNNNNNNNNNNNNNNNNNNNNNNNNNNNNNNNNNNNNNNNNNNNNNNNNNNNNNNNNNNNNNNNNNNNNNNNNNNNNNNNNNNNNNNNNNNNNNNNNNNNNNNNNNNNNNNNNNNNNNNNNNNNNNNNNNNNNNNNNNNNNNNNNNNNNNNNNNNNNNNNNNNNNNNNNNNNNNNNNNNNNNNNNNNNNNNNNNNNNNNNNNNNNNNNNNNNCUUGUGAGCCCCCCUCCUUCCCCUUUUCCCCGCUGUCACCGCCGCGCGCAGACCACGUCCGCUCGCGGCCCUGCACCCCGCCGUGCUCUGGACGCGCGCUCCCACUACCGCCCGCACAUGGCCGACCCUGCCUGACCGCGCUUCCCGCCACACCGGACGCAUCCUGCGCUCCCUUGCUCCACGGCUGCUAUUGCCUCCGCUAGCCACCGCACCCGCCGUGCCGCUACCUCCCCAGGUUGCCAUGGCCUCGCCUGUGCCACUUCCUUGCCGCCCCGGCCGCCUGGCCGGCGCCGUGUCCACCGGCCUUCCUAUGCUCCGGCGCCCCUGGGCGUGCGCCCGAAUGAACGGGUGCUGGGCACCCAUUGCGCCCGAACCCGCCAACGCCGGCGCCCGCUAAGGCCCUGGGGCCUAUGACAGAUGGGCCCCACGCCCAGAACGUUUUUAGAAGAAAAUAAUAAUAAUAAUCAUCAAAUAAAAAUGAAUUUAAUUAAUUAAUUAAUUAAUUAAGUUAAUUAAUCCUACUUAAUUAGUCUAAAUUAACCUGUUAGUCUAACUGAACAGUAAUAAGUUUAACUAAACCCUAGUUACCUAAACAGAGUAUGACAGGUGGGUCCCACUGGACCCACAUGUCAGAUUGACCCAGUCAACCCCUGUUGACUGCUAACGUCAUGAUGACGUCAGCAAACACUAUUCUGGAUAAUGUUGAAAUUAAAUAGUUAAAUAAAUCCUAAAAAUGAUUUAAAUCUUUUAAAAUUAAUAUAAAAUAAACCGUAGCUCAGAUGAAAAUACUUUCUACAUGAAAGUUGCUCAGAACGACGAGACGAAUCCGAAUGCGCAGCCCGUUCGUCCGACACACACCCCUAACCUAUCGAACUCGCAACUUUCCCCCUCCGGUUCCUCUGACCGAAAACACGAAACACCGGGGAUACUUUCCCAGAUGUUUUCCCCCUUCGUCGGUACCACCUACUACCGCGUUGGGGCAUGCCUAGCAACACGCCUUGUCUUGUCAUGCAUCGUCAUGCAUUUGUUUGCAUUGUAUUUAUUGUUUCUUCCCCCUCUUCUCUCGCUAGACCCCGAGACAGACGCCGCUGCUACCCAGUUCGACUACGGAGUUGACGACCCCUCCUACUUGCCAGAGCAACCAGGAAAGCCCCCCCCCUGAUCACCAGAUAUCGCCUAUUCUCCUCUAUACUGCUUGCGUUAGGGUAGUGUAGCAUGUUACUGCUUUCCGUUAAUCCUUUUCUGAUGCAUAGCCUGACAUUGUUGCUACAUCUGUUGAUACCUUACCUGCCAUAUCCUAAAUACUUAGUAUAGGAUGCUAGUUUAUCAUCAUUGGCCCUACAUUCUUGUCAGUCUGCCUUGCUAUACUAUUGGGCCGUGAUCACUCGGGAGGUGAUCACGGGUAAAUACUAUACAUAGAUACAUACUAUACAGAUGGUGACUAAAGUCGGUUCAGCUCGAUGAGUACCCGCAAGUGAUUCUGAUGAGGGGGCUGAAAGGACAGGUGGCUCCAUCCCGGUAGAGGUGGGCCUGGGUUCCCGACGGCCCCGGACUGUUACUCUGUGGCGGAGCGACAGUGCAGGUUGAGACCACCUAGGCGAGGGGUGGGCCUGGCCCUGGUCGGCGUUCGCGGUUGCUUCAUAAUGACACGCUUAACGAGAUCUUGGUAUUUGAUCUGAGUCUGGCCACUGGCCUAUACGCACUAACCAACUACGCGGGAACAGUUAUGGGCACUCGACGUCAUGGUAUCAGCCGAAGCCUUCUUGACGUCAGCGACUGAGCGGCGCGCGCCGGGUUGGACUGCGUUAACGCAACUUCCUUUGUAAUGGAGGUUGCUAGGUAUGCUCACCGGCCGCGUACGCAACGUGGAGGUGUGCAAUGGACGAUGGGCCCAGACCCCUGCGCGCAUAGGAUUUAGACCGGUGUGCUGACCUCUCUGUUGUGCCUAGGUGGGGCUGCGACGUGUUGAUCUUUCGAGGCCGGGCAUGACCCAGGAAAGUGUGUGUGGCCAAAUGGGAUCGAGCGUGUUGGGUUAUGUGGUGCACCCCUGCAGGGAAGUUAAUCUAUUCGAAUAGCUGUGAUCUUCGGUAACAUGACAACUUGGAGUUGUACCUUGACCUUAUGACAACUAGAACCGGAUACUUAAUAAAACACACCCUUCCAAGUUCCACAGACAACUCGGUGAUCGCUUUUCCACAGGGCGACGAGGGGAGGAUCGCCGGGUAGGAUUAUGCUAUGCGACGCUACUUGGAGGACUUCAAUCUACUCUCUUCUACAUGUUGCAAGACGGAGGCUGCCAGAAGCGUAGUCUUCGAUAGGACUAGCUAUCCCCCUCUCAUUCUGGCAUUCUGCAAUUCAGUCCACUGAUAUGGCCUCCUUACACAUAUACCCAUGCAUAUGUAGAGUAGUUCCUUGCUUGCGAGUACUUUGGAUGAGUACUCACGGUUGCUUUCUCCCCCUUUUUCCCCCUUUUCUUUCUUUCUGGUUGUCGCAACCAGAUGCUGGAGUCCAGGAGCCAGACACCACCGUCGACAACGACUCCUACUACGCUGGAGGUGCCUACUACUACGUGCAGCCCGCUGACGACGACCAGGAGUAGUUAGGAGGAUCCCAGGCAGGAGGCCUGCGCCUCUUUCGAUCUGUAUCCCAGUUUGUGCUAGGCUUCAUAAGGCAAACUUGUUUAACUUAUGUCUGUACUCAGAUAUUGUUGCUUCCGCUGACUCGUCUAUGAUCGAGCACUUGUAUUCGAGCCCUCGAGGCCCCUGGCUUGUAUUAUGAUGCUUGUAUGACUUAUUUAUGUUUUAGAGUUGUGUUCUGAUAUCUUCCCGUGAGUCCCUGAUCUUGAUCGUACACAUUUGCGUGCAUGAUUAGUGUACGAUUGAAUCGGGGGCGUCACAAGUUGGUAUCAGAGCCGACUGCCUGUAGGAAUCCCCCUUCCACACUCAUUGGCCGAAGUCGAGUCUAGUCAUUGAAAAACUUUUACUAACAUGGUUGUGUAACUUACGGGCCCACAUCGUCAUUGGGUGGUAUUAGGAUCUUUUACUCCUUGUCUAUACUCGGGGACUCUGAUCUCUCUUCUAUUCAGGUUAAAUGAUUUUGCUAAAAGGACUAACUUUAGGUUCUCAAAAAUACUUUCUCCCGGAGAGCCCCUCACUCUAGUUGAUCGCUUUGCUGCACCAGAAGAUUCCGAAGAUACUCUCCGAGGUUUUCCCGAGACCCUGGUGCCCACCGACUUUACAAUCCACUACCACCGAUAUACCCUUAUGGAUAACUACCUACAAUUGUCGUUCAUACCUUCGUCCUCAGUUGCUCUUGUUAUUACAAGAUGCCCUAAAUUGCUCUCCAUUGUUCGGAAAAUCCUUUAAGCUUACUGCCUUGUAGUUCUUUACCACAUGAAUAUCCCUAUUGAAAAUUCCUCGCACUUAUUGAGUGUCUGUUCAUCCCCAGUUGUUCAUAUGCUUCAUAAGAUACUCUGAAAUACUAUCCGACCUUCUGAGCAUCCUCUUCAAACUAUUGCUCUGCAAAUACUUGAAUCCUUACAUUAUGGAUGCUCCCAUAUCACUAGCAAUAUUCACUAGUAUCUUUUGACACCGUCAUUUUGAUCCAAUUGAUUCAACAUGUGUGCGAAUGCACACAAUCAUCUAUCAACCCUUCUAAAUUAUUUUUCCGGCUCAGACGUCAUUUUGAACAUGAGCUGGUUCUCGACCAAACUAUUUGUCAUCAAUUGUGCCUCCGGUCUAUCCAACUUAUCCAUCCUUGAUCAGAGCGUCUGCUUCUGAUCAUUUGUUUUAGAAGUCAUAAUUCCUUUCUUAUCUAAGCAUCGAAUUAUUCUGAUGUUCUAUAAUAUGAUGCCCGUGCAUUCUUUCUGGAGUACCGAUACUCACAUCAGCUCCGUUGUGGAUCGCCCGACCCAUUGUUGGAUUUCAUCCGACAUCGUCCUUCAUAUUCAAUAACCUUGUGAGCUUUUCCACGGGUAUAUAAUGCCUUUGGUAAAUUGUAUCCUCUGCUUUGUCAACCAUGCUCUACUUUCGAGCUGGUGAUAAUUACUCCUGAUGUUUGUGGUAUAUGUUCCUAAAAUGCCCCUAUGGGUUGAACCUAUGCCUUCCCUAACCAUAUGCACCCGAGAGUUUUCACGAGUCAUACUCUUCUGGUGUUUUGCCAGAUAAUAUUUCAACACUACAACUUCAUCGAAAGCGAGAAGUGAAUGUAAGGUUAUGCAUUGAGGAAGUGGGAGUCGACCUUGAACCUUUGUGUUCAUGCCCAUGGAAACAAUGUAGAUCGUAUCAUUAAAGCUUCUCUUGAAUAAAUAUUUCCUUGGUAUAAGUUUAUCUUAUAUCUGGGAUCUGGCAUUUUGCAAUCGUUGUUCCGGCCAUGUUCUCCUUUAAAUAUCAUUUCUCGGACAAGUUGAAGUACUUGUCUUCUGCAGAUCUUUGCACCUGUCCAACCUUUACUUUGAUCUACCAUCGAGUAUUACACUCUGGUAUCUCGAAAAUAUCAUGGAACUGCAUAACUUUUUAUGGGUUCUUCAUCAACUGUUAUUUCUCACCGAUUCCAAUUUUCCUAGGUUCUGGGUUGUCGUCAACCGAGAACACCGAUAUGUGAACCGAGUCUGCACUAUGGUUCAAUAACUCUAAGUAAUCUUCAUUGCUUAUGAGUUUAUUAAUCCUUCAAGUCAUUCCUAGCCUGGUCGGCUAUAUCAUUAUCGUGCUAAGUUUUAACUAUGCUACCUGCUCUUUAUUCCCGGAGCACAAUUUUCGACGAUGAGCUUAGCUUAUGUCGACCUUACUCAUCAUAGCAUUUCUCCUUGAAUAGCAAGCUUGAUUUCGAGUUUGUGUCGUAUCCGUGGUUCCAAUAACCUUUCGCUUCAUCAUUCCUUUGACUUGAUGUCAUCGCCGAUCGAUUACAUCUUCAUGGAAUCUCUUGACAAAUGUGUCGUGAUCAUCAUCAGCAUUCCGAGCUCUUCCAAGAUAUCAAUCGAAUUCAUGAUGGGAAAUACCAUCCUUGCCCCUCGAUGAUUUGUGUAACCAUCGACAACAUUCUUACCUUCCCCCAACACAAACUUGUUCGUGUUUUGUGUUAUACCUUGCUAUCCAACAUUUGUUCUCCUUUACCUUGGAGUAUUGCCAUCUUUUAUGUCAAGAAUGUCGUGAGAAUUUUGCCACCUCUUGAGAAUUCCUGAUACAAGUGAUGCUUCUCACCAUCACCAUUCCUUCUUGGUCCCCGUGUUACUUAUAACCGGAAUGCCGAAAAAUGAACUAUGAAUUGUGAAUUCAAAACUUCUAGCAACCCUAUUGCUUGUAAGUUACGAAUGAUAGUUUCUUUCUUCAAGUGUUGAUUAUUGACUCAUCAUUCUAACAUUGAUCAUGUCACUUAGUCCAUAUUUUGGAUGCACUUUUCGAUCAAUGUUUAAUUGUGUAUGCUUUCCUCUAGCACACCAUUAUAUCAUUUGAUUUGACAAAUGUUAUCUCCUUGUUCACAUGACUAUGGAAAGCCAUCUUUUUGGAUAUCUUGACGAAAUGUUGCUGAAUCCAUCAGCCACCUCCUCAUCUCUCCUUGGAUUAAUGAUGAACUCUUGCUUCGGAACUCGCUUCCAUUGUACAUUUCCCGAGAAUCUUACAGUGUCGUCUCGUCAUUUGUGUUGCAUCUUUUCUUCUCUGGCAUCCUAAGUCAGAGGUAUCCUGACACCAAUCAGAUCUGAACCUCGGUCAGAUAUGAAGGUUGGGACAUUUCCAAGAGUUAUAGCAUUGGCCUUUUAUGACCCGGUAAGGUGAUGGCAUGUCCAGCACACCUGGCCGGAGGACCUAUUGUUAUAGUUUCCUUUUUGGCAAGGUUAGUCAUUCUACCGUGUGGAAAUUGUAAGACUUAUUUUAUAAGUUGUUCCUGAUGAAUCCUUUGCGUAUGCAAAGACCGACCUUUGCUUGAAGACCAUGUCAAUGCUAUCUCGAAGCAUGUAUGUGGUACUCCUAUCAUCAAUAAGAACAUUUGAAGCACAGUGCUAAAUUUUCCUUAUCAGUUAUCCAAACACCGUUGUAUGGGUACAUAUCAUGAUUCUUCUUAUCCCUUUUAUCUGAAUGGUCAUGCCUUUGGUCUCAUGUCAUGGAUAUCAUUCUCUACUUGACCUUGGUAAGGAUAUACCCCUGAAUUAUGUGUUUAAACACAUUUUUCUGUCCGUUAUUCUGAUUAAAUCUAAUAAACACUUUUCCCUUUCCAUUGGUUUGUUUAAACCCUUUCUAUGAUCUAUAUGAUAUAAGCAGUAACAGUUCCCUACUUGUGCAAACACCUCAAUGAGCAACUCUGUCAGUAAGACCCUGUUACUAUUGUGGAUGACAUUUCUGUAACCACCGAUGGAAGAGAACUUUGCCUAUUUGGUCCGCCUCAUUUCAACGAGCAGGAAAAAGGUUCUCUUCGUCCCUCGCCCUUGGUACCGACGUUGUUACUAACCUAUAACUAACAUGCUAACCUCUGACAUGCCUUGCUCACAUGAUCAUGCAAGACGUCAUCGCCCUUCCUACUUUUAACCCACAUGGUGGGCCCAUAACCCACGGUUCCACAGGAUCGAAACCUGACUCUCUUGUACACCCUGUUUCCAAAGAUAUUCCUCAUGCUUGGCUUUGUAUGUAAUUCACGAGCCACCUUCCGUGUGAUCCUCAGUUCUGGUAUUAAACACAAUACUUAAUUCCGUUGCUCCGAACCCCUUUCACACUUUGUUUCAGGCAACGAACGAUUGCCUGCUAGCUCGAAACUUCCCAUAAUGCCUCCUUACAUUGCUCUCGAUAUUUUCAGAGGUUUCAGUUCGAGAGUUACUUUCCGCCUCCCUCCCCGAUGUUAUCUACCAAAUAGUCAACCUUGCCGAGGUCCGUUCUCCCGGAAUGCUCCCCCUUUAUUCUUUCGUAAGUACGAUGGAGUUUCCGAAGAAAGGAUGCUGACUUCAUCUUAAUGACCUGAAGCAGAAAAAUGAAGACGUCAAUGUAAGGGAUCGACCUCUUCGAGAAGAGCAACCAAGGCCGAGAAGAUCAGUUAGAAUUUCGUAACUAGACCCCCCCUUCUUUACCUCUAAAAUCUCGGGACGAGAUUUCUUGUAGUAGAGGAGAAUUGUGACGCCCGGAUAAUUAAGCUAUAGUAACCCUCUACUAAUGAUACCACGUCACCUCGAUUUCUGUUAAUAAACUCGCAUUAGUUCGAAAUGAUUCAAAUUCAAAUUUUGAAUUUAAGUCAAACAAUAAAAGUUUUCAAACAUUAAAAUAAAAAUGUUCGGUUUCUACUAAAUAUUACAUAGAUAAUUAUGGUGUAGAGGACACAGUUUUAUAAAAUGCAUAAAUAUUUUAACUUGAAUUAAAACAGAAGAGAAAAUAAAUAAAAGAAAGAAAAUACAGAAGAGAAAAACAAAGAAAAAAAGGAAAAGAAACCCCCCGGGGCUCCGGCCCAGCAGGCCACCGGCCCAACUGGGCCACGACCUACCAGGCCGGCCCAGCUCCCCCCUGGCCCAACCNNNNNNNNNNGACCCCGUCGAAGCCACCGCCCCGGAUCACUGUCGUCGUUGCCUCCUCGCCCUCCUCUCCCUCGCGCGGCACCACGUGAAGCCGUGGCCACGCCUCAUCGCCACCCCGCCGCCGCCGCCCGAGGACCUCGCCGGAGCUCCCUCGCCGGUCUGCUUCCUCCUCCUCGCCGGCCUGCCUCCACUUCGUCCGCGUCGUCCCCGACGACCUCCUCGCCUGCCACUGCCCUGUGCCCUGCAACCCCUUGUGAGGCCCCCUCCUUCCCCUUUUCCCCGUGGUCACCGCCGCGCGCUCGCGCUCGCCACGCGCAGACCACGUCUACUCACACCCUGCCUUGCUGAGGCCUCGUUAGCCGCAUCUCGGCUACGCCCUGCGCGUGCACCGCCCGUGCCUCCCACUCGCCGGCCUCGACGCCCGCCCGUGCGAGCCCCGCCACUGCUCCCCUCCUCCUACCCUGCAAUUGAUGCUGCUCGUUGUUGCUGCGGCUGCCGCAGCCCCUGCCGUCGCCCGCUCCCGUUCCAGUCGGCGCCCGAUGGCCCCGUGCCCCGGCAGCCUUGUCCCGCCCUGCGGGCGAGUGCUCGCUUGGGUGCGCCCACACCCGCAUGCCCCUGGGCGUGCGCCCGUAACCCGUCGCCCGCGCCCUGUAUGGCCCUGUGGGCAUAUGACAUAUGGGCCCCGCCCAGAACGUUUAAAAAAUAGUAAUAGUAAUACAAAUAAAUUUAAAUAAUUAAUUAAUUAAUCAAUUAAUUAAAUUAACUCAAUUAAUCCUAUUUAAUUAAUCUAAUUAACCUGUUAGUUUAUCUAAACAGUAAUUAGUUUAACCUAAACCCUAAUUAACCUAAUAGUGUAUGAUAGGUGGGUCCCACUGGACCCACACAUCAGUUUGACCAGUCAACACCUCUAUUGACUGCUGACGUCAUGUUGACAUCAUGAUGAUGUCAUCAAACACUGUUUUGGAUAAUGUUGAAUUAAAUUAAUUAAAUAAAUUCUAAAAAUGAUUUAAAACUUUAGAAAAUCAUAUAAAAUAAACGUAGCUCGGAUGAAAUUCAGAACGGCGACACGAAUCUGGAUACGCAACCCGUUUGUCCACCCCACAUCCCUAGCAUAGCGAACACACAACUUUCCCCCUCCGGUUCAUCUGUCUGAAAACGUGAAACACCGGGGAUACUUUCCCGGAUGUCCCCCCCCCCUUCACCGGUAUCACCUCCUACUGCAUUAGGUCACCUCUAGCACCGCUUAUUGCCAUGUUAUGUUCUGUGAUGCCUUGUGUGCUCCGUAUUUACUGUUUCUUCCCCCUCUUCUCUCCGGUAGACUAUGAGGCCGACGCUGCUGCNNNNNNNNNNUCCUCGCCGGCCUGCCUCCACUUCGUCCGCGUCGUCCCUGACGACCUCCUCGCCCCCCACUGCCCUGUGCCCUGCAACCCCUUGUGAGCCCCCCUCCUUCCCCUUUUCCCCGCGGUCACCACCGCGCGCAGACCACGUCCGCCCGCGGCCCUGCACCCCGCCGUGCUCUGGACGCGCGCGCCCACAACCGCCCGCACAUGGCUGACCCUGCCUGACCGCGCUUCGCGCCACACCGGCCACGUCCUGCGCUCCCCUGCUCCACGACUGCUAUUGCCUCCGCUAGCCACCGCACCCGCCGUGCCGCUACCUCCUCAGGUUGCCAUGGCCUCGCCUGUGUCACUUCCUUGCCGCCCCGGCCGCCUGGCCGGCGCCGUGUCCACCGGCCUUCCUAUGCUCCGGCGCCCCUGGGCGUGCGCCCGAAUGAACGGGUGCUGGGCACCCAUUGCGCCCGAACCCGCCAACGCCGGUGCCCACUAAGGCCCUGGGGCCUAUGACAGAUGGGCCCCACGCCCCAGAACGUUUUUAGAAGAAAAUAAUAAUAAAAAAAAUAAAAAUGAAUUUAAUUAAUUAAUUAAUUAACUAAAUUAAUUAAGUUAAUUAAUCCUACUUAAUUAGUCUAAAUUAACCUGUUAGUCUAACUGAGCAGUAAUAAGUUUAACUAAACCCUAGUUACCUAAACAGAGUAUGACAGGUGGGUCCCACUAGACCCACAUGUCAGAUUGACCCAGUCAACCCCUGUUGACUGCUGACGUCAUGCUGACGUCAUGAUGACGUCAGCAAACACUAUUCUGGAUAAUGUUGAAAUUAAAUAGUUAAAUAAAUCCUAAAAAUGAUUUAAAUCUUUUAAAAUUAAUAUAAAAUAAACCGUAGCUCAGAUGAAAAUACUUUCUACAUGAAAGUUGCUGAGAACGACGAGACGAAUCCGGAUGCGCAGCCCGUUCGUCCAAAACACACCCCUAACCUAUCGAACUUGCAACUUUCCCCCUCCGGUUCCUCUGACCGAAAAUGCGAAACACCGGGGAUACUUUCCCGGAUGUUUUCCCCCUUCGCCGGUACCACCUACUACCGCAUUGGGGCACGCCUAGCAACACGCCUUGUCUUGUCAUGCAUCGUCAUGCAUUUGUUUGCAUUUUAUUUAUUGUUUCUUCCCCCUCUUCUCUCGCUAGACCCCAAGACAGACGCUGCUGCUACCCAGUUCGACUACGGGGUUGACGACCCUCCUACUUGCCAGAGCAACCAGGCAAGCCCCCCCCCUUGAUCACCAGAUAUCGCCUAUUCUCCUCUAUACUGCUUGCAUUAGGAUAGUGUAGCAUGUUACUGCUUUCCGUUAAUCCUAUUCUGAUGCAUAGCCUGACAUUGUUGCUACAUCUGUUGAUACCUUACCCGCCAUCCUAAAUACUUAGUAUAGGAUGCUAGUUUAUCAUCAUUGGCCCUACAUUCUUGUCAGUCUGCCUUGCUAUACUAUUGGGCCGUGAUCACUCGGGAGGUGAUCAUGGGUAAAUACUAUACAUAGAUACAUACUAUACAGAUGGUGACUAAAGUUGGGUCAGCUCGAUGAGUACCCGCAAGUGAUUCUGAUGAGGGGGCUGAAAGGACAGGUGGCUCCAUCCCGGUAGAGGUGGGCCUGGGUUCCCGACGGCCCCCGACUGUUACUCUGUGGCGGAGCGACAGGGCAGGUUGAGACCACCUAGGCGAGGGGUGGGCCUGGCCCUGGUCGGCGUUCGCGGUUGCUUCAUAAUGACACGCUUAACGAGAUCUUGGUAUUUGAUCUGAGUUUGGCCACUGGCCUAUACGCACUAACCAACUACGCGGGAACAGUUAUGGGCACUCGACGUCGUGGUAUCAGCCGAAGCCUUCUUGACGUCAGCGACUGAGCGGCGCGCGCCGGGUUGGACUGCGUUAACGCAACUUCCUUUGUAGUGGAGGUUGCUAGGUCUACUCACCGGCCGCGUACGCAAUGUGUAGGUGUGCAAUGGGCGAUGGGCCCAGACCCCUGCGCGCAUAGGAUUUAGACCGGCGUGCUGACCUCUUUGUUGUGCCUAGGUGGGGCUGCGACGUGUUGAUCUUCCGAGGCCGGACAUGACCCAGGAAAGUGUGUGCGGCCAAAUGGGAUCGAGCGUGUUGGGUUAUGUGGUGCACCCCUGCAGGGAAGUUAAUCUAUUCGAAUAGCCGUGAUCUUCGGUAACAGGACGACUUGGAGUUGUACCUUGACCUUAUGAUAACUAGAACCGGAUACUUAAUAAAACACACCCUUCCAAGUUCCACAGACAACCCGGUGAUCGCUUUUCCACAGGGCGAUGAGGGGAGGAUCGCCGGGUAGGAUUAUGCUAUGCGAUGCUACUUGGAGAUGCUACUUGGAGGACUUCAAUAUACUCUCUUCUACAUGCUGCAAGACGGAGGCUGCCAGAAGCGUAGUCUUCGAUAGGACUAGCUAUCCCCCUCUUAUUCUGGCAUUCUGCAGUUCAGUCCACUGAUAUGGCCUCCUUACACAUAUACCCAUGCAUAUGUAGUGUAGUUCCUUGCUUGCGAGUACUUUGGAUGAGUACUCAUGGUUGCUUUCUCCCCCCUUUUCCCCCUUUCCUUUCUUUCUGGUUGUCGCAACCAGAUGUUGGAGUCCAGGAGCCAGACGCCACCGUCGACAACGACUCCUACUAUGCUGGAGGUGCCUACUACUACGUGCAGCCCGCUGACGACGACUAGGAGUAGUUAGGAGGAUCCCAGGCAGGAGGCCUGCGCCUCUUUCGAUCUGUAUCCCAGUUUGUGCUAGCCUUCUUAAGGCAAACUUAUUUAACUUAUGUCUGUACUCAGAUAUUGUUGCUUCCGCUGACUCGUCUAUAAUCGAGCACUUGUAUUCGAGCCCUCGAGGCCCCUGGCUUGUAUUAUGAUGCUUGUAUGACUUAUUUAUGCUUUAGAGUUGUGUUGUGAUAUCUUCUCGUGAGUCCCUGAUCUUGAUCGUACACACUUGCGUGCAUGAUUAGUGUAUGAUUGAAUCGGGGGCGUCACAUGCGGACUACUUGGCAUUUUAGGAACUGGCCACUGGAAAUAAACCCAUAGGGUCUCGGGUAUUGGUUGUCGGACAUUAUUUCUACAUAUGACUUUUCAGCAAAACCAAGAUAUCAUGAACCAUUACUUCACUAAACAGACAGGUCAGUCACCUUUAGGACAGAUUGUGGUUGCUUAUAUGUGUCAACAAAUUACAAUUUCAUAUGUAGGAGUGGGUCAAUUCAAGCCGUUAGCAAGCAGUCACAUGGCCGAUUAAAAACAGAUAGUUAUGUUUAACAGAAUUUAUAUGGACCAACUAUACUCAAUCCACCAGUCCAGGCUAUGGUAUAGUUAUCCAGCCUAAAUACUCACAUAUAUCAGCCAUGAGUGGAAGUAGUUGACAACAAACUAUGAUCCUAGAAAGUACGACUAAAAGUUUGUCUAUCAAUGUAAAAACAAAAACACAUUUGUAGAUCAGCAAACAGAGGAGAUGCCAACAGUGAAGUAAAACUUCAUCAAGAAUCAUAUUUUCAGGGGAGAACAAAUAGUGCAGACUGUAAAAAGUAUUGCUAGGAUGGCUAAAGACAGUAAAAGCCUGAAACUUGCCAAUUGUAAACAAACACGAAAGCAAGACACAUCACAACAGAACUAGUAGUACAACUCCCAGAUCUCUGGAACAAUUUUCGCUUUGUUAUAUUUUUGCUCCAGAAAUAUAGCCAAAUCCUCACUUCUAGCAGCGCAUAUAAGCAUAUCACUGAGAUAGCGAGGGAAAUGGCGGCCAAAGGAGGGAGCUCAGCAAGAGGAGGGAAAUGGGGAACUCACCUUGGCCUUGGGACCGCUGGUUGCUGCCAUGGAAGAGCUCUGAACCAUGGAGCAGUCACGUACGCGUCUUUGAUUGUUUGUUGCUAUAAUAUACCAACAAUUAGUACCCAAAAUAGAUAUUCUAGAUGGAGACUCUGCAAGUGCACUUACCUUGUCCAAGUCCAAUGCUUUAUGGCUCUGAAUUCCGACAAUAGACCAAGUUCCAGGCCUAAUAAUGCUUCCCUCAAACUUUGUUAUUUCUGAAAAUCUGCAUUUUACAUUGAAUAAAUAUUACAGUACACGACUUAUCACAAGCAGAGAGGAGUGCAGAUGAGGGGACGGGGCUGAGCUAACCUCUCGGCGUAGUGGAACAGGCAGAGGUAGAGGUAGACGGGAUGAGCGUCUUCAGCUCAAGCGACUGCGCCACCGCGUUCUUGACCGCCUGCGCAGCAAGCACACACACGCGCAAUUCAUUCGCCGGAAUCCAGGUGAGAAGACACAAGAAGAGAGGAGGGGGACGCACCUGCGCGAUGAGGGCGACGAGGUGUAUGAGCGCGUCGAAGUUGUCACCGUCGGAGUGGGAGGCAAGGAGCACCGAGACGGC
Molecule: long non-coding RNA, 14576 nt
Filed under: Triticum aestivum (bread wheat)
Lineage: Eukaryota; Viridiplantae; Streptophyta; Magnoliopsida; Poales; Poaceae
Description: long non-coding RNA (TAES_LNC008568)
Source: RNAcentral